CUUUAGACACUGCCCAAUCAUUAUGUCACCUAAUUUAACGGCUAUAACGUUCACUUCUUCAACCUUUAAUGCCGAACUUCUCAUUUUGAGCUUCCGAUUCAAAAACACCUCACCUCACUCACUCAACAUUUUCCACCAUGUUAGAUGGACUACUUCGCCGCCAAAUGUAAACCAAGAAUCGGAUUGAAGUGAUAAGGAGAUAGAGAAGAGCUACGGAGAAGUUUCUCAAGAAAGAUAUCAAUGCCUACGGAAGGGUAACUAAUUCGUUUUACGAUUGCUUAGAGGAAUGAGGAAGUUAUAACACAGCUUUUAACAUUAUUCAGCCUCUGUUGAAAGCUAUCUAUCUAACAACACCAGUCGAGCCGACUUUCAGAUGAUAGCGUAAUCAUAUUGGAGGAGAGGAUUUAUUUUUUAUUCUUCAAAAGGUUUACUAUGGAAAACCACAACGGUUAUGAUUCCAACAACGACGAAUAUGUUGAAGAAUCAGAUUAUGCUAAGGAUGCACUACAACAUUUUUGGCUUUAGGCCACGGAAGAAUAGGCAACGGCAUAAAAAGCGUUGUCUAUAAGGUAAUAAACCACGGUUUUUUGCUUGUUGAUAAAUUUCUAGAUUUUUAAUAAAAACCAUAGUGUAUACACUUUAUGCUGCGGUGUUGUAACCGUGGGCAAAACAAAACCGUCCCCUAUUUACUUUUAACCACGGUUUUUAAAUUGUUGUCAUAGUC
Long non-coding RNA from Vicia villosa (hairy vetch), 724 nucleotides. RefSeq lists it as uncharacterized. The record is from RefSeq and is a predicted model, not a curated record. The transcript has 4 exons. NCBI's taxonomy places the organism in Eukaryota, Viridiplantae, Streptophyta, Magnoliopsida, Fabales, Fabaceae.